RNAcentral lists this transfer RNA (103 nucleotides) under halophilic archaeon J07HX5. RNAcentral describes it as "tRNA-Asn". It matches the Rfam family "tRNA". From Rfam's summary of the family: Transfer RNA (tRNA) molecules are approximately 80 nucleotides in length. Their secondary structure includes four short double-helical elements and three loops (D, anti-codon, and T loops). Further hydrogen bonds mediate the characteristic L-shaped molecular structure. tRNAs have two regions of fundamental functional importance: the anti-codon, which is responsible for specific mRNA codon recognition, and the 3' end, to which the tRNAs corresponding amino acid is attached (by aminoacyl-tRNA synthetases). tRNAs cope with the degeneracy of the genetic code in two manners: having more than one tRNA (with a specific anti-codon) for a particular amino acid; and 'wobble' base-pairing, i.e. permitting non-standard base-pairing at the 3rd anti-codon position. Lineage: Archaea; Methanobacteriati; Methanobacteriota; Halobacteria; Halobacteriales. The record is from RNAcentral.
GCCGCCGUAGCUCAGUUGGUAGAGCACCACGCUGUUAUGGCGUACAGUCACCCUGUAGGCCGCAGAGACGUGGUUGUCCCAGGUUCGAGUCCUGGCGGUGGCG